GACGAACGCCGGCGGCGUGCUUAACACAUGCAAGUCGAACGAUGAAACCUAGCUUGCUAGGUCGAUUAGUGGCGAACGGGUGAGUAACACGUGACUAACCUGCCCCUUUCUCUGGGAUAACGCUCCGAAAGGAGUGCUAAUACCGGAUACUCACACCGAGGCACAUGCCUUGGUGUGGAAAGUUUUUCGGAAAGGGAUGGAGUCGCGGCCUAUCAGCUUGUUGGUGAGGUAACGGCUCACCAAGGCGACGACGGGUAGCCGGCCUGAGAGGGCGAGCGGCCACACUGGGACUGAGACACGGCCCAGACUCCUACGGGAGGCAGCAGUGGGGAAUAUUGCACAAUGGGCGCAAGCCUGAUGCAGCGACGCCGCGUGAGGGAUGAAGGUCUUCGGAUUGUAAACCUCUUUCAGUAGGGACGAAGCGAAAGUGACGGUACCUAAAGAAGAAGCACCGGCUAACUACGUGCCAGCCGCCGCAGUAA
Molecule: ribosomal RNA, 482 nt
Filed under: uncultured bacterium
Lineage: Bacteria
Description: partial 16S ribosomal RNA
Rfam family: Bacterial small subunit ribosomal RNA
Source: RNAcentral